ACCCUCGGCCCGUCCUCGCCGCGGCCGGGAUGUAACAUCCCGCUGCUGGUGGUGGGAGGGCUCGGUGUUCCAUCCCUGUUUCCUUGGGAUCGGGGCGCUGCAGCCGCGGCAGUGCCCUUGUUCGGGAAUAUUUGGGCUUUCCACCAGCUCUGUGUCCUUGUGAGAGCUCUCAUGGGAGCUGAGAGGGAGGUCAGCUCUUACGCAGGUGGUGACUCUGCCAUCCCCUCUAGAUUAGCUCUGUGAUUUCCCUCCUGGUUCUCAGCUCCACAGCUUCCCUGUGUUUUUCCCUACCCAGCUGCUCAGUAACCCCUUGGGCUCCAAGGCACACCUUGAGAGCACCACAGCUGUUUAUCUUCAGGUGUUUCUACCCCCAGACCUGAUCUACUGUGGCCGGAAGCUGAGGGAUGACCAGACCCUGGAUUUUUAUGGAAUCCAGUCUGGCUCCACUGUCCAUGUCCUGCGCAAGUCCUGGCCUGAGCCUGACCAGAAACCAGAGCCCGUGGAUAAAGUGGCAGCAGUCCGGGAAUUCCGUGUGCUGCACACUGCCCUGCACAGCAGCCCUGCCUACAGAGAUGCUGUCUUCAAGAUGCUGGGAAACAAGGAAUCCCUGGAUCAGAUCAUUGUGGCUACUCCCGGCCUCAGCAGCGACCCCGUGGCUCUGGGAGUUCUGCAGGACAAGGAUCUGUUCUCUGUGUUUGCAGACCCCAACAUGCUGGACACGUAAGUUCCCCGAGCUGGGGCGGUGAUUCAGCAGUGCCUUUGUGUCACCUGGGUGGGACAGAGCUCUCUGCUCCUGCCUCCCAGGCUGGGUCACUCCUGUCAGGAAACACGGAUCCACCACUUGGGUUAAUCCAGAGGGUGUUUGGUGGGAGGCAGGGCCAUCAUGGCCUCCAGAUCAGGGUUCACACCUGGGUGAGCUGCUCACAGCAGAGAGCUGCUCCCAUGAAAACCUUGGAAAAGUCAGCAUGGGUCCAGAGGGAUCCUUGGAGAACCAAGGAAAGGUUGGGUCCAGAAGGUUCCUUGGUGAACAGAGACAAGGUCCAACAUGGAUCCAGAAGGAUCCUUGGGGAACCAAGGCAAGGUCCAAUAUGGGGUCCAGAAUGAUCCUUGGAGAACCAAGGCAAGGUCCAACAUGGAUCCAAUAGGAUCCAAGACUGGGUCCCCCAUGGGUCCAGAAGAAUCCUUGGUGAGCCAAGGCCUGGUCCAAUAUGGGGUCCAGAAUGAUCCUUGGAGAACCAAGGCAAGGUUGGGUCUAGAAGGGUACUUGGUGAACCAAGGCCAGGUCCAGCGUGGAUCCAGAAGGAACCAAGGACAGGUCUAGCAUGGAUCCAGAAGGAUCCUUGGUGAUCCAAGGCCAGGUCCAGCGUGGAUCCAGAAGGAUCCAAGGCCAGGUCCAGCGUGGAUCCAGAAGGAUCCAAGGCCAGGUCCAGCGUGGGUCCAGAAGGAUCCAAGGCCAGGUCCAACAUGGAUCCAGAAGGAUCCAAGGCCAGGUCCAGCAUGGAUCCAGAAGGAUCCUUGGU
Molecule: long non-coding RNA, 1520 nt
Filed under: Zonotrichia albicollis (white-throated sparrow)
Lineage: Eukaryota; Metazoa; Chordata; Aves; Passeriformes; Passerellidae
Description: lncRNA (ENSZALG00000016168.1)
Source: RNAcentral